AAGCAGGCCCGAGUCGCCUGGAUACCCCAGCUAGGAAUAAUGGAAUAGGACCCUGGUUCUAUUUUGUUGGUUUUCGGAACUGGGGCCAUUGGAGGGCAAGUCUGGUGCCAGCAGCCGCGGUAAUUCCAGCUCCAAUAGCGUAUAUUAAAGUUGCUGCAGUUAAAAAGCUCGUAGUUGGAUCUUGGGAUCGAGCUGGCGGUCCGCCGCGAGGCAAGCCACCGCCUGUCCCAGCCCCUGCCUCUCAGCGCCACCUCGAUGCUCUUAGCUGAGUGUCCCGCGGGGCCCGAAGCGUUUACAAUAGAAAAAAUUGAGGAUAAAAUAAGAAAUAUCGAGAAUAAAAUAGAAAAACUUGAGGAUAAAAUAGGAAAUAUUGAGAAUAAAAUAGGAAAUAUUGAGGAUAAAAUGGGAAAUAUGGAAGAUAAAAUAGGAAAAAUUGAGGAAUGAAGGAAAUUUGAGGUUUACAACAUGAAAAAAGUGUUCUAAAUCUCUUAUAAUCAGAGAGAUGCAAAUCAAAAAAACUCUGAGGUUCACCUCACACCUAGCAGAUUGUUCAACA
This 556-nucleotide non-coding RNA is filed under the name Monodelphis domestica (gray short-tailed opossum). RNAcentral's name for it is "Eukaryotic small subunit ribosomal RNA". It matches the Rfam family "Eukaryotic small subunit ribosomal RNA", at positions 426 to 963 of the family's 1831-position model. The record is from Rfam by way of RNAcentral. Lineage: Eukaryota; Metazoa; Chordata; Mammalia; Didelphimorphia; Didelphidae.